GACGAACGCUGGCGGCGUGCUUAACACAUGCAAGUCGAACGGUAAGGCCCUUCGGGGUACACGAGUGGCGAACGGGUGAGUAACACGUGGGUGAUCUGCCCUGCACUUCGGGAUAAGCCUGGGAAACUGGGUCUAAUACCGGAUAGGACCACUGCCUGCAUGGGUGGUGGUGGAAAGCUUUUGCGGUGUGGGAUGGGCCCGCGGCCUAUCAGCUUGUUGGUGGGGUGAUGGCCUACCAAGGCGACGACGGGUAGCCGGCCUGCGAGGGUGCCCGGCCACACUUGGACUGAGAUACUGCCCAGCAUCCGACUGGAGGCAGCAGUGGGGAAUAUUGCACAAUGGGCGCAAGCCUGAUGCAGCGACGCCGCGUGAGGGAUGACGGCCUUCGGGUUGUAAACCUCUUUCAGCACCGACGAAGCGUAAAUGACGGUAGGUGCAGAAGAAGGACCGGCCAACUACGUGCCAGCAGCCGCAGUAA
RNAcentral lists this ribosomal RNA (478 nucleotides) under uncultured bacterium. RNAcentral's name for it is "partial 16S ribosomal RNA". It matches the Rfam family "Bacterial small subunit ribosomal RNA", at positions 28 to 523 of the family's 1533-position model. The record is from RNAcentral.